CAGAACCUGUGGUUUGCCAACCCCGGGGGCAGCAAUAGCAUGCCAAGCCGCACCCACAGCUCAGUCCAGAGGACCCGCUCGCUGCCCGUGCACACUUCCCCACAGAACAUGCUGAUGUUCCAGCAGCCAGGUUCCCAAGUUCACAGUGGACUGUGUUUAACAGACCUUAGAGAAUUCCAGCUUCCCGUGACCGAACCUGACAUCAACAACAGGCUGGAGUCGUUGUGCCUCAGUAUGACCGAACACGCCCUGGGAGACGGGGUUGACCGGACCUCCACCAUCUAGAAGCUGAAGAUGAGAGUGACCGCGCUGGCCGUGAAAUCGACUGCUGCGGGUCCAGUGUCAGCCAUCUUCAGGGUUGCACAGAAUCCUCCAAGAUACUUUGCAGCCUUUUUUCCCCCUGGUCCCUCUCCCGUUUUGAUUUUGUGAGAGCGUACGUCAUCCUCGUAAACAUAUCAGUAGACCUGG
This 468-nucleotide small RNA is filed under the name Pan troglodytes (chimpanzee). RNAcentral's name for it is "processed transcript". Lineage: Eukaryota; Metazoa; Chordata; Mammalia; Primates; Hominidae. The record is from RNAcentral.